UUAUGGCCGAAAAUACUGUAUUUUUAACCAGUAAGAUCAUCGGGGCAUUAUACAACAUUAGGUGUUCCUUUUUUUUUUUUUUUUUUGAAAAACUAGUUCCCAUCCCCAAACAAUAGACAAUACAUGCAUUUGAAUGACAUUUUAAGAACAGUAAAUAUGAUUUUUUUUAAAUACUGCAAGUUAAAAAUGUUUUUGACAAAACUCCCUAAGUACACAGAUCUAGUCAGGUCUUCCACAUGAGGGUCGAUGCAGAGUCUGGCCAGAGGCUUCAGUUAGAGUCCUUUGAGGAAAUCUGCCAGAAACGUGUUUCAAUGAAAGUGACCCAGACAGACUUAGAUAGUGUUUUUACUUCCUUUUCUAACCCUACAAACAGCUUGCUGAAUGAUCUUCCUCCCUGCGUUUUCUUCCUGACUACCGAAGCUUCUAUGAAAGCCAGAAUUCCUUUAUCUAAGUAAGAUCUGAUUUUUACCAAGUGGCUGUUUUUUUAACAUGUAAAUGUAUUCAUCACUGGGUUCAGAUUUUAUGGCGUGAUGGCAUCUCCGUGGUAGAUAUGGAAGGUGGGAGGACAUAUCUGGGCACCUCUGUGCAUCAGGUGUGCAUGCAUACUCUGGACCAAUGGCUCUAGAGGCAAGGGUGCUAUUGCAGGGUGGCAGAAGCGGGGAGAUGGCAGGAAACAGUAUUACUGCAAGGAAAACAGAGUGUAGACGUUCAGCAAGUUAUCUGUGGAAUGGCAGGUGUCUAGCUUCCCCAACCUUGGCCUAAUCACACAGAACCAAGCCAUUUGUUUUUCCCAAUGUUCGAGAACCAAAAUGGAAUCCCAAAGAUACAAGUGCCAGGAUAUCUCUUAACACUGCAUACGCUGGAAGUGUGGGGGGACAGACAGACACAGUGUUAGCUUCCAUUUUUGUAUGUCUUUCUAACCAAAGAUUUCUCUUUGGAAUAAAAUAUUAAUGUAUGCCCAACUAACCUUAUUUGUAUCAAUUAAGAUGCUGUUACUAACCACUUGAGUGGCUUAAGACCCUUACUUAAUUUUAAGAAGAGCAGCAAUAUACAUUACAAUAUUUGGGUACACUUUAUUUUUAUAUGGGUUAACAUUCUGCUAUAUUUCACUUCAUUCGUUCUCUUGAGAAACUGAAAACAAAGGGGCUGGGGUCAUCUGAGGGUCAUCUGGGGUCAUCUGAGGGUCUGAGUCUUGCGGUGUCUUGUUAUGCAGCCCUUUCUUCCCAUUAUUAUUUUUAUUUUUUUGCAAGUAAUCAAGUCAUUUUGACCCAAAUCCAGCAUAAACAGCUUUUCACCAAUUCCUACUUAAGACAACUUAAAUUUACAAUCAUGUGGCAGUAUAAAUUUUUAAAUUACAAUUCGUACAACUUGACAAUCAAUAUAAGUCUGAAGUACAAAAAGUAAAUUGCCCUUUGGCUGAAUUACCUUUUAAAACGAUUAGGCCUGCUAAUGUAAUCUAAACAAAACAAAACAAAACAAAACCCCGAGCCCCCAAGUUCCAGGGUGUUCUCUAAAUAUCGCUGUGGAUGCCACCUGCCAGUAAACAACACAUGCAGGCUCCUAAGAAUUUCCCAGCUACUCAGGACAUUCAACAGAGCUCUUCCUACGGAAACAGUAAGGAAAACCCAACAGGCUCUGUAAGACCCACUGACUUUUGCAUGGGUGCGUGUUUUCCCUUUGUUUCAGACAUGAGGCACAGACUUCUGAAUUUAAGCUCUGUAAGGCAUAGUAUAAACCUCCAAUUUACAAAUAGGAAUUCUCUGUGGGUGGGAACUGCCGCAUCACACACAAAAGGGAGACAUCAUCUGUAAACGGCACACUCGUGCUGAGUGACUCGGGAGAUGGCUGCUUGCCUUGGGAUGCUGAGGAAAGGUUUCUGUGGUCUGUGUUUUUCUUCUGAAUAAGACAUGCCCAAGUCACCAUAACACUCCUCACAAGCCUCCAUUACCUAGAGCAUCGACAACAGGAACGCUUGCAAUCACAAUAGAAGAGAAAGCAUGAGUAAACUUUGUUUUUGUACAAAACUGAGAAGCCCUUCCCGCCCCUCACCCCUUCAAUAAAACCCCAAACAAGAAACAACAACAAAAUUAUUUUUAGCUUCAUUGACUAGUGUGGAUACAAUUAGGUGUCCAGGCAUCACUGCAGCUAGGGUGAUCAAUGUUUUCCUUUCUCAAAAGAAGGGAUCCUGUCAUGCACCCCAGGAUGUGCAGUGAGGCCACAGACUUCAACUCUGCACAGCAAGCUGCAUCCUCAAUUCAGAAAGACGCCGUGGCCACCUCUCUCUGCCGUACUCAGCAGCUCUGAGCUGGAUAUCAGCAUGGUUCAACCACAUCCACUACAGCUCUAAUAGACAGAACAGCUCGGUUCCUUAGGACUGUUAACACUUAUGAUCCUGGGAUGAGGUUUUCUCUGUACACUGCAGGCCAUCAAAUGUUACUUUUUUUU
Molecule: long non-coding RNA, 2445 nt
Organism: Rattus norvegicus (Norway rat)
Lineage: Eukaryota; Metazoa; Chordata; Mammalia; Rodentia; Muridae
Source: Ensembl